RNAcentral lists this ribosomal RNA (408 nucleotides) under uncultured bacterium. RNAcentral describes it as "partial 16S ribosomal RNA". It matches the Rfam family "Bacterial small subunit ribosomal RNA", at positions 29 to 526 of the family's 1533-position model. The record is from RNAcentral.
AGUGAACGCUGGCGGCGUGCCUAAUACAUGCAAGUCGAACGAAGUGGCGCACGGGUGAGGAAUAUAUAGUUAAUCUGCCCUACACAGAGGAACAACAGUUGGAAACGACUGCUAAUACCUCAUAGUGUAGGAUGAGACUAUAUCGUAUCAUCUAGUUGGUAAGGUAAUGGCUUACCAAGGCUAUGACGCGUAACUGGUCUGAGAUGAUGAUCAGGUACAUUGGAACGGAGACACGGUGCAAAAUCCUACGGGAGGGAGCAGUAAGGAAGAUUGCGCAAUGGGGGGAACCCUGACGCAGCAACGCCGCGUGGAGGAUGACACUUUUCGGAGAGUAAACUCCUUUUAUCAGGAAAGCGGUACCUAAUGAAUAAGCACCGGCUAACUCCGUGCCAGCCGCCGCGGUAAUAC